Molecule: ribosomal RNA, 253 nt
Filed under: uncultured bacterium
Lineage: Bacteria
Description: partial 16S ribosomal RNA
Rfam family: Bacterial small subunit ribosomal RNA
Source: RNAcentral
UACGGGGGGGGCAAGCGUUGUUCGGAAUUACUGGGCGUAAAGGGCUCGUAGGCGGCCAACUAAGUCGGACGUGAAAUCCCCAGGCUCAACCUGGGAACUGCGUCUGAUACUGGAUGGCUUGAAUCCGGGAGAGGGAUGCAGAAUUCCAGGUGUAGCGGUGAAAUGCGUAGAUAUCGGGAGGAACACCGGUGGCGAAGGCGGUUCUCUGGGCAUUACCUGACGCUGAGGAGCGAAAGUGUGGGGAGCGAACAGG